RNAcentral lists this unclassified non-coding RNA (329 nucleotides) under soil metagenome. RNAcentral's name for it is "partial contains 5.8S ribosomal RNA, internal transcribed spacer 2, and large subunit ribosomal RNA". The stretch from base 1 to 120 matches the Rfam family "5.8S ribosomal RNA", at positions 35 to 154 of the family's 154-position model. The record is from RNAcentral.
GAUGAAGAACGUAGCGAAAUGCGAUAAGUAAUGUGAAUUGCAGAAUUCAGUGAAUCAUCGAAUCUUUGAACGCACAUUGUGCCCCCUGGUAUUCCGGGGGGCAUGCCUGUCCGAGCGUCAUUACAACCCUCAAGCUCAGCUUGGUAUUGGGCCCCGCCGACCCGGCGGGCCCUAAAGUCAGUGGCGGUGCCGUCCGGCUCCGAGCGUAGUAAUUCUUCUCGCUCUGGAGGUCCGGUCGUGUGCUCGCCAGCAACCCCCAAUUUUUUUCAGGUUGACCUCGGAUCAGGUAGGGAUACCCGCUGAACUUAAGCAUAUCAAUAAGCGGAGGA